UCAAGCUACAAAGGGCGCAUGGUGGAUGCCUUGGCACCAGGAGCCGAAGAAGGACGUGGUAAGCUGCGAAAAGCUGCGGGUAGCCGCAAACAGGCUGUGAUCCGCAGAUGUCCGAAUGGGGGAACCCACCUAUUGAACAAUAGGUAUCCUUAACUGAAUCCAUAGGUUAAGGAGGGCACACCCGGGGAACUGAAACAUCUAAGUACCCGGAGGAAAAGAAAGAAUAAUCGAUUCCCUAAGUAGCGGCGAGCGAAAGGGGAAGAGCCCAAACCAGAGGAAACUCUGGGGUUGAGGACAGGUCAUAAAGGUUUAAAAUCUCUAGCCGAAGAGGCCUGGAAAGGCCGGCCACAGAAGGUAAAAGCCCUGUAGGCGAAAGAGAAUUUAAGCUGGACCUGAUCCAGAGUACCACGGGACACGUGAAACCCUGUGGGAAGCAGGGAGGACCACCUCCCAAGGCUAAAUACUACCUGGUGACCGAUAGCGUAUAGUACCGUGAGGGAAAGGUGAAAAGAACCCCGGGAGGGGAGUGAAAGAGAACCUGAAACCGUGUGCCUACAAGCAGUCGGAGGGCGUUAAGGCCUGACGGCGUGCUUUUUGUAGAACGAGCCAGCGAGUUACGGUAUGUAGCGAGGUUAAGCACUUAAGGUGUGAAGCCGUAGGGAAACCGAGUCUGAAUAGGGCGAUAAGUUGCAUGCCGUAGACCCGAAACCGGGUGACCUAUCCAUGGACAGGGUGAAGGUGAGGUAAAACUCACUGGAGGCCCGAACCACGUUGGUGUUGAAAAACCAUGGGAUGAGCUGUGGAUAGCGGAGAAAUUCCAAUCGAACUCGGAGAUAGCUGGUUCUCCCCGAAAUAGCUUUAGGGCUAGCCUCGGGUUAGAGACGUGGAGGUAGAGCACUGAAUGGGCUAGGGGCCGUCUAGGUUACCGAACCUUAUCAAACUCCGAAUGCCAUGAUCUUGAUGCCCGGGAGUCAGACUACGAGUGAUAAGAUCCGUGGUCAAAAGGGAAACAGCCCAGACCAUCAGCUAAGGUCCCAAAGUGUAUGUUAAGUGGAAAAGGAUGUGGGAUUUCCAAGACAACCAGGAUGUUGGCUUAGAAGCAGCCAUUCAUUUAAAGAGUGCGUAAUAGCUCACUGGUCGAGAGGUCCUGCGCCGAAGAUGUCCGGGGCUCAAACAUACCACCGAAGCUAUGGAUUCGGUAGCGUUACUAAUGCUUAUAUGGAAGAUAGGAAAAGAUAAGAGAGGACAUCUCAUGCUGCUACGCAGCGAAGCGAAGGAGCAGCAUCAGAUGCUUUAAAGCGAAAGCAUACCAUGUAGGCGAUAGUAACGCUACCGAGUGGUAGGGGAGCUUUCUUAGCGGGUAGAAGUCAGACCGGAAGGACUGGUGGACUGCUAAGAAGUGAGAAUGCUGGCAUAAGUAGCGAGAAAUAGGUGAGAAUCCUAUUCGCCGAAAACCUAAGGUUUCCUCAGGAAGGCUCGUCCGCUGAGGGUUAGUCGGGACCUAAGCCGAGGCCGAAAGGCGUAGGUGAUGGACAAUCGGUUGAUAUUCCGAUACCACCAGUAGCCGUUUGAGAGAUGGGGUGACGCAGGAGGAUAGGCUGAGCACACUGAUGGAUAUGUGUGUCCAAAGCACGAGGUAUGCCUCUUAGGCAAAUCCGGGAGGAUAAGCUGAGUGCUGACGGGGAGUCGUAAGACGAAGCAGCUGAUUUCACACUGCCGAGAAAAGCCUCUAUCGAGGAUGCUGGUGCCCGUACCGCAAACCGACACAGGUAGGUGAGGAGAGAAUCCUAAGGCGAGCGGGAGAACCCUUGUUAAGGAACUCGGCAAAUUGACCCCGUAACUUCGGGAGAAGGGGUGCCUACCGAAAGGUAGGCCGCAGAGAAUAGGCCCAGGCGACUGUUUAGCAAAAACACAGGUCUCUGCUAAGUCGAAAGACGAUGUAUAGGGGCUGACGCCUGCCCGGUGCUGGAAGGUUAAGGGGAAAGGUUAGCGCAAGCGAAGCUUUGAACCGAAGCCCCAGUAAACGGCGGCCGUAACUAUAACGGUCCUAAGGUAGCGAAAUUCCUUGUCGGGUAAGUUCCGACCCGCACGAAUGGCGUAACGACCUGGGCGCUGUCUCAACAAGGGACCCGGCGAAAUUGUAGUACAAGUGAAGAUGCUUGUUACCCGCGAUUGGACGGAAAGACCCCGUAGAGCUUUACUGCAGCUUAGCAUUGAGUUUCGGUAUUGUCUGUACAGGAUAGGUGGGAGGCAGAGAAGUAGCGUCGCCAGGCGCUAUGGAGCCGACGUUGGGAUACCACCCUGAUGAUACUGAAGCUCUAACCGGAGGCCAUGAAUCUGGUCACGGGACAUUGUUAGGCGGGCAGUUUGACUGGGGCGGUCGCCUCCUAAAGAGUAACGGAGGCGCCCAAAGGUUCCCUCAGUGCGGUUGGAAAUCGCGCGUAGAGUGCAAAGGCAGAAGGGAGCCUAACUGUGAGACUGACAAGUCGAGCAGUGACGAAAGUCGGGCUUAGUGAUCCGGUGGUACCGAGUGGAAGGGCCAUCGCUCAACGGAUAAAAGCUACCUCGGGGAUAACAGGCUGAUCUCCCCCAAGAGUCCACAUCGACGGGGAGGUUUGGCACCUCGAUGUCGGCUCGUCGCAUCCUGGGGCUGAAGUAGGUCCCAAGGGUUGGGCUGUUCGCCCAUUAAAGCGGCACGCGAGCUGGGUUCAGAACGUCGUGAGACAGUUCGGUCCCUAUCCGUCGCGGGCGUAGGAAAUUUGAGAGGAGCUGUCCUUAGUACGAGAGGACCGGGAUGGACGAACCUCUGGUGCACCAGUUGUCACGCCAGUGGCACAGCUGGGUAGCCAUGUUCGGAAGGGAUAAGCGCUGAAGGCAUCUAAGCGCGAAGCCCACCUCAAGAUGAGAUUUCCCAUAGCGUAAGCUAGUAAGACCCCUGGAAGAACACCAGGUUGAUAGGCCAGAGGUGUAAGCGUCGUGAGGCGUUUAGCUGACUGGUACUAAUAGGUCGAGGGCUUGAUCA
Molecule: ribosomal RNA, 3022 nt
Filed under: Caloramator sp.
Lineage: Bacteria; Bacillati; Bacillota; Clostridia; Eubacteriales; Clostridiaceae
Description: 23S ribosomal RNA
Rfam family: Bacterial large subunit ribosomal RNA
Source: RNAcentral